Molecule: non-coding RNA, 244 nt
Organism: Cherax quadricarinatus
Lineage: Eukaryota; Metazoa; Arthropoda; Malacostraca; Decapoda; Parastacidae
Source: RefSeq, a predicted model, not a curated record
AGAGAAAAGUACGGUGUAUUUUAUCUGGUGCUGUUGAAGAUAUCACAGAUCCCACUAUUAGUUCAUCACAAGCAAAUGGAACUGAAGUGCCAGCGCUUGAGGACAUUCAAGGUGCUGAAGGAGUGUGCUCUUAGAAAACAACAAAGAAGAUUCUGGUGAGAGUGAUGGUAUAUUGAUCUUGAUACUGAUGAUUGUUCUGAUACGGCAUCCAUCAGCAGUGGGGCAUCUACUGGAUCUCUAGGUA